AUUGAACGCUGGCGGCAGGCCUAACACAUGCAAGUAGAGCGAGCGGCGGACGGGUGAGUAAUGUAUGGGGACUGCCCGACAGGGGGGGAUAACUACUGGAAACGGUAGCUAAUACCGCAUACUAUCGGAUAACCCAUUUCGAGUUAGCUAGUGGGUGGGGUAAAGGCUCACCAAGGAAACGAUCCGUAGCUGGUUUGAGAGGACGACGGCCCACAUGGCGACUGAGCACCGGCCCAGAACCCUACGGAGGAGGCAGGGGGGAAUUUUGGACAAUGGGGGAACCCCUGAUCCAGCCAUCCCGCGUGUAUGAUGAAGGUCUUCGGGUGGAAAAGUACUUUGGGCAGAGAAGCGGUAGCUGCAGAAUAAGCACCGGCUAACUACGUGCCAGCAGCCGCGGUAAUUC
This 403-nucleotide ribosomal RNA is filed under the name uncultured bacterium. Its description in RNAcentral is "partial 16S ribosomal RNA". It matches the Rfam family "Bacterial small subunit ribosomal RNA", at positions 30 to 526 of the family's 1533-position model. The record is from RNAcentral.